GGGGAUAUAGCUCAGUUGGUAGAGAUCCGCUCUUGCAA
This 38-nucleotide transfer RNA is filed under the name Orobanche gracilis. Its description in RNAcentral is "tRNA-Ala". The record is from RNAcentral. Lineage: Eukaryota; Viridiplantae; Streptophyta; Magnoliopsida; Lamiales; Orobanchaceae.